UUUUAUUGGCUGUUAGACUAUAAUUGGAGGUAACCGCAAAGAUUUGAAGGCAACAAAGAAAAAAAACACCGAUACAAUAUUAAAUACUUUCAAAUGUUUAUCACUUUUUAAAUUGUGGUUAAAAAUAUGGUCACAAGUGGUUAAUGAACACGUCAAAGAAAGACUUUAAGACAAGGCUAAAGAUGUAUAAUUGAUUACAAUUUAUCAAUAUUGGAAUGUUAACUUUCAAUAUUUAUAGUUGUAAUAUAAAGUUGAGCGUAAUCACACCGAAUAAAAGAUGGCUGAUGAAUACAGGUCUAAUGGAACAGAAAAUAAUUACUAAACAUGAUUGGAAAAUUUGUUCAUCAAAAAGACACUAAAAUUGGAUUAAUUCGAUUAAUGGUGACAUGCAUAAAAAGAUUUAACCCUAUUAAAACACAUCAAGGAGGCCAAUUAAUAUUACAAAGACAAUAGGUUAACAUUACUUUGGUGACCAUUUUCAAGUUGUGAUGGAGUUUAUUGGACACUAAAGUUAAACUGAAAACUGAAAGGGAUCAAGUUAAAGGCAAAAUGUUACUUUCGUAAAAAAAUAACAGAAAAGAUCAUUACUAUCAACAUGAUCAUGGAAUUGUUUUUGAAUUCAUUGAGAAGGAAAAAAAGCUCUUCACUAAUGGGAAACGAAAGGGAGUUCAAGAAAUAAGCAACUGAAAGACUAUUACGAUCUUGGAGGAUGAUGAUAAUGAUAAGAUGAAUUCUGUAUGUCAAGCAAAGUUUCGCUUCUCAGCAUCUCUUUCAUUUACCUCUUUCUUUUGCCUUUCAACUCUCAACAUUAUGCUACCACUGAGUUCUCAUGCUCAUGCCUAAUAUUCAGCUUCAUCUUUAUUCUGAUCAUCUUAUCCUUUCUCUCCUUCAAUCUCCUCUUCUUUAAUCUUCACUUUUUUUAUGUUUGAAAAAGAAGUUUCACUUUUGCCACUCACUCAAAAUUGAUACUCUAGUAUACAAAACGAAAGGGAAGGGAAUAUCGUGUUAACCUGAUACAUGAUUCCAAAGAUGACAAGGAAGAAAAAGAAAAGAAAAGCAUUUUUUGGUUCACUGAAAUGAAAAGUAGAAGCUGAUGAAGGAAGGAAAUGGAAGAUAGAAACAGAUGAUCAAGGCUUUGCAAAGCUUUAUAAAUUGGUUUUGGUAUUGAUCUUGAGAAAUCUUGUUCCACUUUUAUACUCUUUGCCUGUCUUUGGAGAAUCAUGAAUUGACGCAAAACAACAGUUGCUCGUCUGUUUGGCUUUAACUUACCUUGAGCCGUGCGAGUAAAUUGAAGAUGAAGUAGAUUGAUUUGAAAUGGCUUGAACUGCUCCUUGGAUUUCCUCUAUUGUUGGUUGAGGUAAUCGCCGUCGAUCUUUACGAUUAGGAGUUGCUGGAGCUGAUGAUGAGGGUCCAGAAAAUUGGGAAUGACGAUGGGCUGAUGUGACAACUGAUGAAGAUGCUGUCGAUGAUGCAGUUGUUGAUGUUGCUGAAGAGGUUGCUGUUACAUGAUGAUCAGAGAUACAAAUGAGAUAAUAUCAAUUUGAUGUUCUCACAAAUAACAUGAACGAUAUCGGUGUCAAUUUAUUUGGUUGGACCAUUAAUAAAAGGAUAACUACUACAGGCAUCAUCAAACCAUCAUCAUCAAGAUCGAUAAUAUUACAUGGCAAGUCUAGGAUAAAGGGAAACUUUAUACAGACAUAAACACACGUAAAUAUUUUUGCUACAAUCUUAUAUCAUUUCAAGCUUCAACUUGGAUGAUUGAGAGGUGGAAGAAGAAGUAGGAGCAAAAAAACUGAGCUGCUAAGUUGGACACCUUUACUAAACUAGUCAACUCUGAGCAAAAUGAUGAUGAUGAAUUGAUGGAUGGUUAUGAAGCAAAAAGAUGGUAUGAGCACAAAUAUAUGGGUGAAAAAAUGCUAACUGGAAAUGAACAAAACUGAAAGGAAAAAGCAUCUUGUCCAUCAUCAUCAUCAUUGACUGUUUAAAUCUAGACAGAUUAUCAUAAUUCAACUAAUAUCUUUACAGAUUUUUCCAACUUAAUCUUGGCGCUUUUUUUGUCUUCCCGCUUUUCUUGCUCUUAACAGUCUUAUGGCAACACAGUUUUCAUUAGUUACUUGACAAUGAAGCUGCAAUAAUUUUUAUAAUAUUUACGAAUUUAAUUAAUGUGUCUUAAAAACGUCUACAAUACAUCAUGGCUACUGAUCUAAUGUUAUUUCUGGUUUGGCAUAGAUUGCUCAUUGGACCAAUGGAAGGGUUGAUCAAUACAAAUAAUAUAGAUAAUUCAACCUCACAUUGAAAAUGAACGGAUAAAGUAGGAUUCAAAUGAAGAGGAUAAUGAAGUCAAUGGAUGAUAAGAUUUGGUACCACAUGUCUGUAUUAAUAUUGAUGUAACUCUAUAUGAAUUACUCUGCUGGUCAGCUUUAUUAACUUUGCUUCCAUUUUUAUCAUUGUCAAAGAUUACUUACUGGUCAUUACUAUUUGCUCAUUAUUCAAGCAUCUUUGGUGUGUCAAUGAAUUUAUCGAUCAUUAAUAACAAAGUCGUUAAUGUCAUUACCCAUACUUGAACCUGCUUAUUCAAUAUUGGCUACUUUAUGGUUAAACUAAUCAAUUCAACAAAUCAAUUGCAGGAAAAUUAGCUAACCAUUGAUUUGUCAAUUUUGAUAUGACAUCUUUAAACAGUGAAAAUUGGAAAAUUUAUUUUUAGACUUGAUCAAUCGAUGAUGGAAUAUUUUUGACCGUUUGAAGUCCAUUCCAAAUAACCAGUCGCUUGAUUCAAAAAAGUCCCUCAGCAAGGAAUUCAAUUAAUCAUGCAUUCGCAAUGUAAUUUAUCGAUCUCAGUAUCCAACAAUUGUCAGUACAUUAAGUCUCAUAAUACAAUUACCAUUUGACCAAGUUAAUGGGCUUAAACAAAAUUAAAUUUAUAAAACCAUUUACGGUUAAACUGUUAAUUUUUGAUGACAUUUUUUCUCAGUGUCACUCUAUUAAUAUUAGACAUUAACUAGCUAAUAAAUCUUUCUAAUAACCCUUGGCAAAAAAAAGUUUAACAGCUGAGCAACAAUACAAUUUACAUCAAUAUUUACAACUAAAUAUAACAUUAAAAUCCAUUAGCAGAUGUAGUAUUAACAUUUUUUUUCAAAA
Tetranychus urticae (two-spotted spider mite) is the source of this 3138-nucleotide non-coding RNA. The record is from RefSeq and is a predicted model, not a curated record. Lineage: Eukaryota; Metazoa; Arthropoda; Arachnida; Trombidiformes; Tetranychidae.